Molecule: long non-coding RNA, 1214 nt
Organism: Vicia villosa (hairy vetch)
Lineage: Eukaryota; Viridiplantae; Streptophyta; Magnoliopsida; Fabales; Fabaceae
Exons: 5
Source: RefSeq, a predicted model, not a curated record
UACAUUUUGAAGAGGCCCGUCCAAUUCAGCGCCGUUACUUGGCCAGAAAUCGUCGAGUCGCACUCAACUCAUCUCGCCGGUAAACUCAGCCGGACUUGGUCAUCAGCAGCCAGAAACAGUAACCAAACUCUUCACAUGUUUUCCUUCCCCUCACCUCUCCUGUAUCGGACGCAAGGAUCAAAAGCAUUGAUAUAUUAUUACAGUCGGUGUCAUUGCUGUGUGACCAAUGUAUAAUGGAUAUUCCUGUUGUUGAAUCACUCUCUUGCAAAAGCAAGAGGUCAUUCAUCCAUGAUUUAUCUAGAGCUUGACAUGUGGAAAGCUAAAUAGGACGUCGUUUGGAGGAGAAAGGUGUUGAGGGAUGGCCGAUUAUAAUUCUUUCGUUCUCUGGGAGGAAGUAAAAGGGGAUUGCACCUUCAAUGCAUGAAAAUGCCGCUUUUUUGUCAAGAAAAAGGAAUAGUUUUUUAUGACGAUGGAGGGUAUGCGGCGUAGCGAUGGUGGGUAGAAUAGAAUGGAAAGUUGAAUGCAGUAACGUAGGUUUCAAAAAAGUGAUACAGUGGAAUCUAAACUUUAUUUUUAUGCAGUUUGCAAGUGGUAGAAACCGGAUCUAGCAACACAAACAUUAACAUCAGACUGUUUUCCAUGAUUCCAUCUUUCAUUCUUCACAAGCAUGAACAUUAGACUUGUGCCACUUUUCCUUUUCGCAUCUAGGGGAUUCUAUCUACAAAUCUCAAAUUUUGAUCUUCCUUUUUCUUGGACGCUCCCAGACCUUCUUGGGGAUUUCCACCACUUCUUUGCUAAAUUUUCCAUGGAUGCACUCCUAUUAUAUGCUUUAUGUGAACGUGUUUAGUGGGGUGUAAUAUUUAAAUUUAUAUAUUUAUAAGGGUAUAUAUUCAUCUUAUUGACUACUAGCCAUUAUUUGUAGUAAUUUCUCAGGUAUUUGUGCUUAUAUAUAUUGUAAUAUUUUUGUUUACUUAAAAAUAAUAUGCAUCAUUAUCAAUAGUUAGUUUAGUCAACGUUGGAUUUGGUAGGGAGGAUCACAGUUCAAUCCUCCACAACUCCAAUCAGUUAGAGAGGACUACAAUUCAAUCCUCCGCAACCCUAAUCAAGAAGAGGACUAAAAUUACUUGAUGUCAGAAUUGACCCCCAAACUAGACUAUAGUAAUUAAUGGUAGCUAUUGUCUUAUUUUAAUUAGUUAUUUUUGUAAAUAGAUAUC